Molecule: ribosomal RNA, 434 nt
Filed under: uncultured Pseudobutyrivibrio sp.
Lineage: Bacteria; Bacillati; Bacillota; Clostridia; Lachnospirales; Lachnospiraceae
Description: partial 16S ribosomal RNA
Rfam family: Bacterial small subunit ribosomal RNA
Source: RNAcentral
ACGGAAGGCAGCAGUGGGGAAUAUUGCGCAAUGGGCGAAAGCCUGAUGCAGCGACGCCGCGUGAGCGAAGAAGUAUUUCGGUAUGUAAAGCUCUAUCAGCAGGGAAGAUAAUGACGGUACCUGACUAAGAAGCACCGGCUAAAUACGUGCCAGCAGCCGCGGUAAUACGUAUGGUGCAAGCGUUAUCCGGAUUUACUGGGUGUAAAGGGAGCGUAGGCGGUUUUACAAGUCUGAUGUGAAAGCCCGGGGCUCAACUCCGGUAUUGCAUUGGAAACUGUAGAACUAGAGUGUCGGAGGGGUAAGUGGAAUUCCUAGUGUAGCGGUGAAAUGCGUAGAUAUUAGGAGGAACACCAGUGGCGAAGGCGGCUUACUGGACGAUUACUGACGCUGAGGCUCGAAAGCGUGGGGAGUAAACAGGAUUAGAUACCCUGGUA